This 8983-nucleotide long non-coding RNA is filed under the name Solanum tuberosum (potato). RNAcentral describes it as "long non-coding RNA (STUB_LNC006687)". The record is from RNAcentral. Lineage: Eukaryota; Viridiplantae; Streptophyta; Magnoliopsida; Solanales; Solanaceae.
UUCAAGAGAUUCCAUUUGAAUACUACUUGGUAAAGACUUGAGAUUUUUGCAUUUUUCCAGAUUCAAGAAGAUAAGCUUUUUGAGAUUUCCAAUGGAUGGAUGAAUUUCAACCAAACUUUCACAACUUUUUAGUAUAAUCUUCUGGAGGUUUGGACUCUCACAAAAAUUGGGUGUUCGGAGUAAACUUCUUGAAAAACUUAGAUUGAGGAUUGUCAACUUGUCAAAUGCCUGUUCAUAAAAAGAGAACAAAUAAAAAUAUCAGCUUUAAUUGUCAUUUCUUUUCUUUAAAUUAAACAUGAUUCUUUUCUGAAGGAGAUGAACAAUACCUUUGGAUCCUUGAAGAAGAGAACUACAAGUCAUAAUGAGCCCAACUAGAUUUCCCGGAUCAAAAUCUUCUGGUAAAGAUACAAAACUGUAGUAUGACCAAUCAAGCCAUUUCAAGUUACUGGGGAGAUACUCAAUAGGGUCACAAAUAGGGUCAUGAUGUCAGGCCUCCUCCCCUUUGACAAUGAGUAACCUUAGACAAGGCAUGUUUUUUAAUUCUUUGCUCCACUUGCAUAUAUGACGGUCUGAGCCAAUUGGUGCCAUUAUGCCUUUAAUUGACUCUGUCCUCUGGAAAAGAAAUUAAAGUAACUUUGUUAAACAGAACAUACUUCCAAACAUAGAACGUAUUCUCCCUAAUUUACAAAUCUUAAUCUAUAUCAUUUUUUGUUGGAAUUAAUAGGGUGUACUGAGGUUAGGAUAAUACCGGUAGUAUAAGAUUUAUAUGGAUUUGCAUUAUGAGUUCAUCCAAAUUAAUUGAGAACUUCAAAUACUCUUACUUCCACUUCCUUUUCAUUAUGACCCGAUAAGAAAUCCAUUCUCCAAUCAAUAUAAGGUUCGAUUUGACAUGUGUUACAUUAGGAGGUCUUCCCUAUCAACCAAUUAAGCUAAAAUUUGAACAUAUCAAAGAAUCAAAAUUUUGCAUUACUUUUUAAAAAUAAAGCUCUUAUAAAUCUAGAAGUUUGUAUAUCAUGUUCCUAAAUAAUAGUUCCUCACAAAUUUAUUUUGUAAGGGUCGUUUCGUUGGGAACAAGUUAUCCCAAGACUAAUUAUCCUGGGAUAACUUAUCCCACCAUGUAUAUGAAAUAACUUAUUCCAUCACUAUGAUAUAAAUGGUGGAUAAGUUGUCCCAAACAUGGCAACCAAACAAGAUAGCAAAAUUUUAUCCCUGGACUAUUUAUUUCUAUCCCUCACACCAAACGACCCCUAAGAGGGAGAUAAUUUUGCAACAAACUAUUUAACAAGACAAAGAUUACUAUAAGCUAGUACCAAAUUGUCAUCAAUAAAAGUACUUUCAAGGUAGGAAAGAAAAAGAAGUAACAACAAUAAAAAAAAAAACAAAUUAUUCAGAAUGUAAAUAUAUAAUAAAAUCACUACAUGAGGAAGAGAACGAGAAAAAGAACACGGCAUGUUCUGCGCUAGCCCUCAUGUGGGUACUUUGGAGGGAAAAGACUAGGAUAACUUUUGAAGAGAAAGAACAUGAGUUUGUACGGUUUAGGGCUUGCCUUUAUUUUUGCUUGAUUUUAAGAGCACCCACAAAGUUCUUGUAGGAAUAGAUGACUGGGUGUCAUGGCAGACAACCAUUUUAUUGCAGCCCAUUUUAAUUUGCCCGGUGAAUUGAUGCGGUAAAUCUAAGGUGAGGUGUCAUGGUGUAUGUUAUUUAGAGAUGACUUAGUUCUGAUUGACAAGACUGUCAGAGGAGUUAAUGCUAAGUUGGAGGUCUGGAGACAAACCUUGGAGUAUAAAAGGGUUUAGGUUGAUUAGGACCAACAUAAAUACUUAAGCGCAUGUUCAGUAACGUAACACACGACGCAGGCGUGAACGUGAGGCUUUAUACCCAGGCUAUCCAAAAGAAAGGAAGUUUCAUUUAUGUUGAACUUAUUAUCCAAAGUAAGGGGAAGAUUGAUGAUGAUCUCAGACAUCAUAUUGGUGCAGGGUGGAUGACAUGGAGGCUAACUUCCAAAGUCUUGUAUGAUAAGAAAGUGCCACCAAAACUUAAAGACAAGUUCUGCAGAGUGGUGGUUAGCCAAACUAUGUUGUACGGAGUGGAAUGUUUGUCGGUCAGUAACUCUCAUAUUCAAAAGAUAAAAGUUGUGAAAAUGAAGAUGUUGAGAUGAAUGUUUGGGGAUACUAGGAGAGAUAAGAUUAGAAAUAAUGUAUGCGGGACAAGGUAGGAGUGGCCUUGAUCGAGGACAAGAUGCGGGAAGCGAGGUUGUGAUGGUUUGGGCAUGUGAAGAAGAGAUGAAUAAAUGCUCUAGUGUAGAAGGGGGAGAGGUUGGUUAUGAAUGGUUUCAGGAGAGGUAGAGAUAGGCUGAGGAAGUAUUGGGGAGAGGUGAUUAGACAGAAUAUGACACAACUUUUGGGUAGAAGGUAAGUUAGGUAGUUGAGUGUUAUCUCACUUAUCCUUCCGUACUAAUAGUCGUAGUACUAUUGUAACAACUAAAAAUUUGGUGAGUUUGGGUUGAAAGGUGUAAGGUAGGUUAACUGGCAGGUCCACAGACCUUAGCUCAACCGUGAACCUUUCAGAAUGACCUAAGCGGCCCGUGGAAGGGUUGACGACCCGUUUAGGGGAAAGAGGGUGCCCGUUUAGGCAACCCAAAAUUUAGCCCCCAACUUCAUGACCCCUUCACGGACUGUGAAGGGCUAAACAGUUCGUGAAGGCUCCCUUACAGGUCUCUCAUCAGCUUUUUGAGUUGGGGCUAUUUUAGUCAUUUCCUAUGCGUCUAGUACCAAAGCUAUGUCGUUUUAACCCCUAUUAUAAGCCCUAUAUAAGUAUUUUAAUUCCUAAAACUACCCAUUCUAAAAUCAUUCUCCUAAAUCCCAUAUUCCCUCUAAGUUCUUCACCAAAGUUCUCUCUACAGCUAAGAAAGAAGUAAGGGUUUCACUUCAAGAUCUCUGAUUCAUCAUAGCACUUGGGUCUUAGUUACUACAGUAUGUUAGUAUUCACCUAUGAAGUCCUUUCCUUUAUAGGAUUCCCAAGAUCUUCCAAUUUUACAAGUUCAAUUCUCAAUUCAAAGUUAGGGUUUUAUUCAAUCUUCAUGUGUUCUACUCAAUUAUAAUUCAAUUAAUUUUUUUUCUAUCUUUUAUGCAUGAAUUGAGGUAUUUACAUGAUUUUGAGUUGAAUUCAUAUGAACCCAUGCAUGAUCCAUGAUCUUAGACUAUGAACACAUAAUGAAGCUUAUAAACUAUGAAUUUAUAAAGAUAUGCAUGCUUUUAUGAAAUUGAUGUAAAUGAUUUGAGGAAGCUUUGAGAUGAAAGUAUCAAUGUUGUUGUGAAAGGCUUUCUCACAUACUACUAUGAUCAUGAUUGUGAAAGGUUUUCUCACAUAAGGAUUCAUAAGGUUGAAAGGUUUUCUCACCUAAAUUGAAUCAAGUUUUAGGAGUUAUUUAGUUUGGAUUGGUUACUUAAUUGUGUCUUUCCAAAUGAAUAUGAUUAAUGACUAUUCCGUGAGAUUUUAUUUAGCACCGAGAGGAUAUUGAGAUGGAGGCUCUCCCGUUAGUAGAGGUCGGGUCUCUAGUAGCAAUCUUCGUGUCCCUAACUAUGUGCCCUGUAGGAUGUCUUAGCUAGUGGAUUCACGUAAGCUAGAAGUUUAAGGUUGUUAUCUUGGCAAGCAAUGACAUCUCUUUACGGUGUGGGAUAGACACCGGAUUCCAUGUUGUAGCUCACAUGGUCUAUGUUGGUUAAUGGUUAACAUCCCACAAUAAUGAACUAGGUUACUUUCAAAGUAUCUCACAAAGUGUUAAGCUUGCAUUGACCAUAAUUUACGACUUGUGUUUUCUAACCCUUUUAUCUUAUGAUUUAGCUUGGUCAUUGCAUGUCAUAUUAAAGUCCUUUUUAGUCAUGAUUUCAUAUCUUUUAUGCAUUGCUAUCAUACUUAGUACAUUCCAUGUACUAAUGCAUACUUGUGCCUACAUUGUUUCACUAAUGUAGGGUCCGACGCUCCUCCUCCGCAUACUUGUGGCUAGUUGAUCUCAUUGACAAUUCCAAGAUCAAGAGUUGGUGAGUCCUCAUAUUCUAAGGACCAUGGCACUUUUAUCGCUUUCUUUACCUCCUAAGGUAGAGGGUAAGGUCUACUUAUUCUAGAAGUUUAUACAUCAGGUUCUUAAAUGAUAUAUAUUAAUAUAAACCAAUACCAAAUCGUCAUCAGUAAAAGUACUUUCAAGGAAGGAAAGCAAAAAAGAAACAACACUAAAAAAUACACGACAAAUUAUUCCAUAUGUAAAUAAAUAUAUAAUAAAAACAUUACACGAGGACAGGGAAGAGAAGAAGAACAUGGUAUGUUUUGUGCUAGCCCUCAUAUGGGUACUUUGGAGGGAAAGGACCAGGAGAACUUUGAAGAGAGAGAACGUGAAUUUGUAUGGUUUAGGUCUUGCCUUUAUUUUUUCUUGAUUUUAAGAGGAACCACAAAGUUCUUGUAGGAAUAGAUGAUUUGGUGUCAUUGGUAGAGAACCAUUUUUGUGCAACCCAUAUUUAUUUGCCUGGUGAUAGAUGAAUUGGCGUGGUAAAUUCAAAGGGAGGUGUCAUGGUGUAUGUUAUUUACAAAUGACAUAGUUCUGAUUGACAAGAUUAGCGACGGAGUUAAAGCUAAGUUGGAGAUUUGGAGACAAACCUUGGAGUCUAAAUGGAUUCAGAUUGGGUAGGACCAAGAUAAAAUACUUAAGUACAAGUUCUACGUAACACACGAGGUUGGCGUGGAAGCAAGGCUUGAUACCCAAGCCAUCCAAAAUAAAGGAUUCAAUUAUCUUGAGUCUAUUAUCCUAAGUAAUGAGGAGAUAAACGAUGAUCUCACACAUCAUAUUAUUGCAGGGUGGAUGAAAUGGAGGCUUACUUCUAGAGUCUUGUAUGAUAAGAAAGUGCCAUGAAAACUUAAAGGCAAUUUCUAUAGAAUAGUAGUUAGGCCAACUAUGUUGUAUGGAGCGGAAUUUUGGCUAAUCAAGAACUAUCACAUUCAGAAGAUGAAAGUUGUGAAAAUGAGGAUGUUAAAAUGGAUAUGUGGGCAUACUAGGAGAGAUAUAAUUAGAAAUAAUGAUAUGUGGGACAAGGUAGGAGUGGCCUCGAUAGAGGAUAAAAUGCGGAAAGCGAGGUUGUGAUGGUUUGGGCAUGUGAAGUAGAGAUGCUCUACUGCAAAAUUGGGAGAGGUUGGCUAUGGAUGGUUUCAAAAGAGGUAGAGGUAUGCCGAGAAGUAGUGAGGAAAGGUGAUUAGAUAUGCCACGACACAGCUUCAGUGGGUAGAAUGUUAGUUGGUAGCGGAGUAUUAUCUCGUUUAUCCUUCCAUACUAGUAGUCGUAGUACUACUCUUGUUGUUUCUUGUUAUUUGAUCUUUGUUACUAUUAAAUGUUUCGUGUACUUAAAUUAUCAUAUUAUUUUAUUUUAGCUUUUUUUAAUGUUUUGUCAUGAUUUCUUCGCUUUCGCUUUUUUCCCACUUGUUUGAGAUGCUUUUACUUGAGUCGAGGGUCUAUUGGAAACAACCUCUCUACCUCCCAAGGUGGGCUAAGGUCUACUUACACUCUACAUUCCCUGGAUCCCACUUAUGAGAUUACACUAGUAUGUUGUUGUAAAAGUCCAUCAUAAGAACAAAUAAGACCUAUGAAUAAAUAGAAGUUAGCACACUCAUUUUCUAUUCGACAUUUAAUGUUCAGGAUGAUAAAAUCUAAAAUUGCAAAAUCAUAAUUAGAACUAGAACUCUAGUAAAUGGAUAUUGAGUAAGCUACUCUAGUUGAAAUCUGUAGAUGGCACAUCCAGUAAUCUAUGAAACUAAUCUUCUUAAUUGGUGGCUACAUGCAUCCUUGUGUGCAAAGUAAUAUGGAAGAACAAAUUCGAACAUACAAGGCUAUAUUUGUUGCCAAGAUAUUACAUAAUUUAAUAAAGAUACUAUCCCAUGAGAUGCAGUUUAGAUUGAGAAAAAUGUGCUAGAUCUGAAGUUUGUUCAAAUUCAGAUAUCUAAUCCCAUUGAAGCCACAUAAUGAAAGAGAGAGAACGGAAAUCUCCAGCAUAGAGGAAUUCUUACCUGAUCUGCAGAAAAAAACAGUUUUUAUAUCUUGUUCAUGCCAUAGUCUACUGUGAUUCCAUGGCUUGUCAUGGUCCACAUUGCGUGCCACUCGCUGACCCAUUUGUUCUAUCAAAUCAUGCAUAUCAACCAUUCCUUCUGAAAUAUAUAAAAGAGACUUUUGGAUGAGGACAUCAAUUCCAAUCUCUGAUUGGAAGCCAAAACUGUUCAGUAUUGUUAUCACAUUAUCUUUCUUUCGUCCUCUAAAGAAACAUGCAAUAUCAAGAAAAGCAUUCUUCUCUUCAUGGUUCAAUCCAUCUAGAGUCUAGACUUAAACUGACCUAGACUUUCCAACUUAAUUCUUGAAUAUUAACAGCCUUUUAGUGAUUGUUGUCGAUGGGCGUAGACUUGAAGUUUAAAACUAAUUUUAUCUAUUAUUAGCUAAAGAUUCUAAAGCAUAAGAGAAAUAAAAAGAUUGAAGUCUUAAUCACAUCCAAGCUUAAAUUUCGAUUUUGAGGCGUCAUCAUUAACAAGAUGCAACUCCUUAAUUAUAAUUCCAAUUACCUACUACCUUUUUUUUGUUUCCCACCUAGUGCCUUGAAUCAGUUCUGGGGCCUGACUAAUAUGAAUUUGAGAGGGUAAAUCCUAUUUUGAGGGGUUAAGUGCCUCCUACCAAAGGCAACUCCAUUCUCAAGGCUUGAAUCCGAGAGCUCUGGUUUAGGAUAUAGGGGUACUUACCACCCUAUCACAACCUUUGAUGGUGCCUAAGAGAGUCUUUAGUUUUCUAAAAAAACUACUACUACAUUCAUAUUAGUUUAAUUCUUAAUUGUAAUAUUAUUCAGUAAAUUUAACAAGUAAGAGGUACUAUUACGCUUUAGAUUUUGAAGAUUUGUUACACAACUAUCUCUACUAUUAGGUUCCCCCUUGAAGGUCAGUAUCAACUACUUUAUUUCAAAUUGGUUACAACAAAAUAAUGAGAAUAUACAAUCUCAACAAUAAUGUGAUUUAAAAUGUAAAGAUUAUAUUGGUAUAAUUUCAUCUAAUUUUGAGUUCAAGUUAUCAGAUUAACUCUUAUAUCUUUUUUAAAUCUGUUAAAUGCCAUUUUCUUAUAAUUUUAAUGUAAUUAUUGAUUUGCCUUAUUAAUUCAUUAUUGCUAAGAAAAUCAUUAUUUUUGCCUAAUCUUUUCCAACAUUACUAACCUAAUACUUAGCCACAUUGAAAUUAAAUUGUUAAUCUAACUGUAUUCAAACUAUCAAACUUUAAUAAUAAUAGGUAUUUUGAGUUACCUUAAACUUGGUUUCUUGGUAAUUACCUCAAUAUCCCAGCAUAUAGAGCUAAUUUAGCCUCUCUUCCGCUUAAGUCGUGUGAAACCAACAAUUUCGUAUAUUUUUGAAAAAAAUGUUCUUUCAUCCUCAUAGAUCAUAUGAACUCCCCACUGUCUCGCAAUGCACCCAUGCAUAGAUGCCUCAAAUAGGCUAUACUGGUUAAUGUCUCCAACCUGCAGUGAAGAAUACAAUGGUAUGUAGGCGAAGCAAACACACCAGCCAUAUGUUCUAGAUGCUGUGCCCACUUUACAUUCUUUCUCAAUCACUUUAAGGUCUUUCAAAUGAUCAUUGCAUAUCAAUUUGGCAUUGAUGAAAGCAUAAUCAUACUUCCCAGAUAGCCUUGAAUUAGGACUGCAGACACCUGCUCCCAUGAGAGUCACACAGCAUAUAGCAAAUCCCUUUAACUUAUCAUUAUACCAAUUACUGGGCAGUUUGAACGAGAUCUUUUCCUCAACACCCUGAUGCAUAAACCAUGUGGGAAUUGCACGUUCAGGAAAGACAAUGGAACAAGUUACCCUAUGAUCGGAGUUAAGAGUGGGGAGGAUCACAUCAUCCAUAUUGUUUGAUAGAAACAAACUGAGAAUCUCAUCUGAAAUUGAGCUACCAUUGCUCUCCUCUGUAUAAGAUUGUUGAUCAAAACUAUAAUUGGUGAAUGAUACCAAAUUCAACCUUGGGUACAUCCGUAGCUUUUCAACACUUUCUUUUGCCAAAAAAUCCUCUACAUAUAAUUCCUCUAUAUUCUGAGGAAGUAGGGGAAGUUCCUCAAGUUCCUGACAGUGUGCUAUAUUAAGAUAUCGAAGGUGAGAAAGUCGCCUGAAGAUAGCAGGCAAAUAAAUAAACUUAUUCCUGCUCAGAUUCAGUUCCAAUAAAGAAGUUAAGUUGAUAAGAGCAGAAGCUUGUUUAUCACAUAAAUUACAUCCACUGAGAUCUAAGCUUUUCAAUUCCCCCAAAGAAUGAAACACCCAGGGUAAUAUCAAACUGCGAGCAGAUUGAUGCUUUACCUUCCACCCUUUUCUUAAUGAAAGGAUCUUGAGUUUGCUUAAGUUUCCAAUAGAAUCUGGUAGUUGCCAAAUGGCAGUGUUGCCAGCAUAGAGCUCCUCCAACUCGUUUAGAUCACCUAGAUUUUCAGGAAAAAUUGCAAGUCUUGAGCAGCCUUUCAGAAUCAAAAUUUUCAGUUUUCUCAUCUCACAGACACUGGCUGGGAGUCUUACAAGGUUUUCACAUGAUCGCAAAUCAAGCAAUCUGAUACCACUGAGCUGUCCUAUUGAUGAGGGUAUUUCACAGAUUGCAGUACGUGCCAGAAGGAGCUCUGAUAGCAAUUCCAUAUUCCCCCGAAUUUCUGGAAAGUUUUCUAAUUUCUGACAACCUGAGAGGUUGAAGCUUUCAAGAGAUUCCAUUUGAAUACUACUUGGUAAAGACUUGAGAUUUUUGCAGUUUUCCAGAUUCAAGAAGAUAAGCUUCUUGAGAUUUCCAAUGGAUGGAUGAAUUUCAACCAAACUUACACAACUUUUCAGUAUAAUCUUCUGGAGGUUUGGACUCUCACAAAAAUUGGGUGUUCGGAGUAAACUUCCUGAAAAACUUAAAUUGAGGAUUGUCAACUUGUCAAAUGCCUGUUCAUAAAAAAGAAGGAA